AAGUCGUAACAAGGUUUCCGUAGGUGAACCUGCAUCCAACGUUAAACCCCCCGUGAACCUUCAGUGCGCUCGCACUUUCUUAGAAAAGGUAGCAAUCCCUGGUAAAUCAUUGCCGAACAGUUUUGAUUCAGGGACUUCUGCGUAGACUGUGCUUGAGCGUGAGGCAAGUGGCCUGGCAUUCCUCUGCUUGUUGGUGUCUGAAAGUGUCACCAGCUCUGUACGAAUGGCGCAGUCACGAUCGCUAGAGGCCGACACGGCCGGCGACCGGGUCACUGGGCGCGAGCCCCCCUCGUCACCUUUGCAUGAAAACGGGCCUGCGCUUAAUUGUGCGGCCACCAAACUCGAACAACUGUUAACAAUGGAUAUCUUGGUUCUC
RNAcentral lists this unclassified non-coding RNA (376 nucleotides) under fungal sp. Its description in RNAcentral is "partial internal transcribed spacer region". The record is from RNAcentral. Lineage: Eukaryota; Fungi.